GGUUCACUUUCAGCAGGAGGCAGUUGCAGGACUUCUCACCUACAGCCUUGGCGAUCCGCUUAGGGUUGGUCACCGUGAGGUCAUCCCCCACCACCAGGAUGCCUGCAGUAGCUGUGAACUUAUGUCAAGCAUACUAGUUGUCCUGGUCAAUGGGAUCUUCAAUGGAGACCACUGGGUAGUCCUUGAUGAAGGACUUGUACAGGUCGGCCAGCUGGUUGGGUGUGAUGUACCAGCUGGCGUCAUCUGGAGACUUGAAGUCCAGGUCAUACUUGCCAGCCCUGUAGAACUCGGAGGCAGCCACAUCCAUGCUGAUGACAACCUGGUCAGUGUAGCUGGCCUUUGUAAUGGCAGACUUGAGCAGCUCCAGUGCUUCUUUGUU
Molecule: long non-coding RNA, 379 nt
Filed under: Rattus norvegicus (Norway rat)
Lineage: Eukaryota; Metazoa; Chordata; Mammalia; Rodentia; Muridae
Description: long non-coding RNA NONRATT028980
Source: RNAcentral